Molecule: long non-coding RNA, 1211 nt
Organism: Oncorhynchus keta (chum salmon)
Lineage: Eukaryota; Metazoa; Chordata; Actinopteri; Salmoniformes; Salmonidae
Exons: 4
Source: RefSeq, a predicted model, not a curated record
ACUAGCAGGUCACCUCUCCCCUUGAGUCCUUGGAUCUACGCCACAACAGCAGCAUUUUUAAGAACCUGAGAGACAUCAUUUUGGAGUGCACACACACACACCAAUUCAUGAGGUCUGGCGAGGCUCUUCCUUUAUGAUGCCUUUGUUUUUCUCCCUGCUGUAAUAUGUCUGAGGCAUCCUGUUACCCUGGUGCUCCUGGGUAGAGGAUCACUUCUAACUGAAUCACAUCACAGCAGGAUCUCUCUAUGAAGGUGUUUUUGUUCACAGAAUCACUAUUGUUCCUGCCUUGUCUCCGGCCAUCUCUGCACCAGCUGUAUGAAUAAUGAAUGAAAGCACCAGAUGAUGUAAAGGAGGACUAAUGAAGUUUGCAGUUUGAAUAGGACACACAACACACUCCAGUCAGAUGAAGGAGGCAGCACACUGAGUGUUUCCACUUUCCAUCUGCCACUGUGCUUGUGUAACCAUUCCAGAGGACAGCGUUGAGCCAGAUGGGGGACCCAGCACCAUGUAACAUGCAGCAUGCAGCACCAGCUGUGACUCAUGAUGAGCAGGACUCUCUCUUCCUCUUUCUCAGUCUCUCUGAGCCCUUCUGUCUGGGUCUAUGGGGAGAUGCUGGACCCCAGCUCCCCCUGGAAGCAAUAUGUCCCACUAAAUGUCUCCUCCAUCAGCCUACAGGCCCAUGUGCCAACAUCCCCAGGACCUGUCACUGCCCCACCUCCUCCAGGAACAAGGUGUGAGGUCACCCUGGCCUUUUGUGAUUAGCUCCCGGCUGCUUUUUUAUGAAGGAGGAACAAAGUAGCCUAGUUUUUUUCUGGUAAUUACCGUGCAAUCAGUUUAUAAUUCAUGUACCUUUUGAACUGAGAAGAGCAGGAGGUUGUCACAAGGUGUGGUAACUGUGCAAUAAUACAUGUGUACAUGGUUUUACAAGUGGGGGGGGGGGGCAUAAUAUUAAUAUUAUAUAUAUAUAUUUUUUUAUCCAGUCGGAUAAACACUCCAAACGGCCUACCCGACGCUCGGAGGCGUCCGCAUGGUCCUAAAGCACACCGUUGCCUUGUUUUGUAUCACAUUCCAAUGAUAAAACAUGGCGGACAAAAAUGUAAUUUCAGAAUGUUCCUUCCCCAGUGAAAGUUUCACCCCAGUGUAAAUGUGUAGCCUAAUUACAUUGUUGUGAAGGAGCAUCAAUCCACCCAUUGUUAAAACUCAUAAAUGUG